GAAAUAUUAGGUUAUAUUAAACUUACAGCCUGUCAGAUUGUAGAUCUCAUAAUUAUGAGAUAUUUCG
This 67-nucleotide transfer RNA is filed under the name Asymmetron inferum. Its description in RNAcentral is "tRNA-Asp". The record is from RNAcentral. Lineage: Eukaryota; Metazoa; Chordata; Leptocardii; Amphioxiformes; Branchiostomatidae.